This 253-nucleotide ribosomal RNA is filed under the name uncultured bacterium. RNAcentral's name for it is "partial 16S ribosomal RNA". It matches the Rfam family "Bacterial small subunit ribosomal RNA", at positions 524 to 776 of the family's 1533-position model. The record is from RNAcentral.
UACAGAGGUCUCAAGCGUUGUUCGGAAUUACUGGGCGUAAAGCGCACGUAGGCGGCUUGGUAAGUUGGGUGUGAAAUCCCGAGGCUCAACCUCGGAAUUGCCUUCAAGACUGCUUGGCUUGAGUUCGGAAGAGGUGAGUGGAAUUCCCAGUGUAGAGGUGAAAGUCGUAGAGAUUGGGAAGAACACCGGUGGCGAAGGCGGCCCCCUGGUUGGAUACUGACGCUGAGACGCGAAAGCGUGGGGAGCAAACAGG